GGACGAACGCUGGCGGCGUGCUUAACCCAUGCAAGUCGAACGGAAAGGCCCCGCUUUUGUGGGGUGCUCGAGUGGCGAACGGGUGAGUAACACGUGAGUAACCUGCCCUUGACUUUGGGAUAACUUCAGGAAACUGGGGCUAAUACCGGAUAGGAGCUCCUGCUGCAUGGUGGGGGUUGGAAAGUUUCGGCGGUUGGGGAUGGACUCGCGGCUUAUCAGCUUGUUGGUGGGGUAGUGGCUUACCAAGGCUUUGACGGGUAGCCGGCCUGAGAGGGUGACCGGCCACAUUGGGACUGAGAUACGGCCCAGACUCCUACGGGAGGCAGCAGUGGGGAAUAUUGCACAAUGGGCGGAAGCCUGAUGCAGCAACGCCGCGUGCGGGAUGACGGCCUUCGGGUUGUAAACCGCUUUCGCCUGUGACGAAGCGUGAGUGACGGUAAUGGGUAAAGAAGCACCGGCUAACUACGUG
RNAcentral lists this ribosomal RNA (469 nucleotides) under uncultured bacterium. Its description in RNAcentral is "partial 16S ribosomal RNA". It matches the Rfam family "Bacterial small subunit ribosomal RNA", at positions 27 to 507 of the family's 1533-position model. The record is from RNAcentral.